GGUGUGGUGCCGGAGCGGUUACGGGCUGGCCUGCAAAGCCAUGAAGAGGCGUUCGACUCGCCUCCACACCUCCA
RNAcentral lists this transfer RNA (74 nucleotides) under Taklimakanibacter albus. Its description in RNAcentral is "tRNA-Cys". It matches the Rfam family "tRNA". Rfam says of the family: Transfer RNA (tRNA) molecules are approximately 80 nucleotides in length. Their secondary structure includes four short double-helical elements and three loops (D, anti-codon, and T loops). Further hydrogen bonds mediate the characteristic L-shaped molecular structure. tRNAs have two regions of fundamental functional importance: the anti-codon, which is responsible for specific mRNA codon recognition, and the 3' end, to which the tRNAs corresponding amino acid is attached (by aminoacyl-tRNA synthetases). tRNAs cope with the degeneracy of the genetic code in two manners: having more than one tRNA (with a specific anti-codon) for a particular amino acid; and 'wobble' base-pairing, i.e. permitting non-standard base-pairing at the 3rd anti-codon position. The record is from RNAcentral. Lineage: Bacteria; Pseudomonadati; Pseudomonadota; Alphaproteobacteria; Hyphomicrobiales; Aestuariivirgaceae.